This 243-nucleotide unclassified non-coding RNA is filed under the name Hevea brasiliensis (rubber tree). Lineage: Eukaryota; Viridiplantae; Streptophyta; Magnoliopsida; Malpighiales; Euphorbiaceae. The record is from RNAcentral.
AUUGAAGUUAGGAAAAUGACUUCCCAUUUUGAAAACAUGAAGUUGCCUUUUCUUAAAAAUAGCUUAAUAUCAAGACCAGUAAAAAAAUAAUCUGUUAACAAAUUUUCCCAAAUGAAGUUUUUAUUUCUCCAUCAAAAGAUUAUCAAAGACAAAUUUAGCUGGAGUUGUUUUAGCCAAGAAAUGAUUAUAGAUAUCAAAGAGGGCAUUUUGCUGCAUUAAAAUUCAAAAAGUUGCUCAGUUCUG